Molecule: long non-coding RNA, 1348 nt
Filed under: Vulpes vulpes (red fox)
Lineage: Eukaryota; Metazoa; Chordata; Mammalia; Carnivora; Canidae
Description: lncRNA (ENSVVUG00000002800.1)
Source: RNAcentral
UUCAUAUCUCAUUUGUUUGUUAAUUUGUUUUUGUAAUGAUCUCUUUGUCCCUUCAUUUCUCUAACCCAUGGCUGUACCUAUAUUACCGGUUAAAAUGCAAAUUUUCUUAGAGGCUGGCCCCUACUGUUCAUAGCAAAAGAAUUUUGAUCUCACAAAAUGAUUUGCAUUUGGAUGAAGGAUUCCCACCACAUGUAUGAAUUUGCACCUGGAUGCAAAUCCAGGGAGAAUGGGUUCUGUGGUGGACUUGGGGAGAGGCAGUUGGUGUCUUCGGGGUCAAGGAAAGUAUUACACUCUGUGAAGAAUUCAAUCCUGUGCUACAGAACAAGACUGAGAGUGAAGCCUUUGAUUUUUGUCCUUUUGGAAAGUCUGCUUAGGUCAAAGGAGGGAAGGACACUGGGCCUGUUCACCUUCCUAUGCGACUGAGGAGCAGUUUAUGGCUGGCCAGGUGCAGAUGCCCUAUCUAAUCUCCCCUGUGGCUGUCAUAGCGCGGCAGCUGCAGCAGUUGGAGGGAGGUAGGGAGCUAUUAAAUAUCAAGGAAAUGUUUGUGCUAGUAUUGUCCCAUUUUGGGGUGGUACAGAAAUCCACAAUUUGUUUUCCACCUAGAAGCAUGACAGCUGCACAAGUGGUCUUCAACCUCAUGCCUUACUACCACCAAGUCUUUGUGACUGUGGACAGGACACCAGAAGUUCUGUUAUUAGAUAUUGAUAUUUGGGUUAAAACAUCGUUUUCUUCAGGGACCAGAAGGCUGAUGUCUCCUGGGCCACGGCCUGGCUGUUUAGACAGUUCCUGUUUUCCCAGCUGAUGCCAUUUCCUGGGAGUGGACCUUUAACUCUGUAAAUGAGCAAGCCCAAAGUAGGUAGACCAGAUGGAGCCUGUGGAGGAGGCAGGGGAAGGAGAGCCAGGUGACUUGUCUUUUCUUUGAACUGAUAGAACUUACUGACUAUAAACAGUCUGCAAGAAUGCCAUGACUUCAUUCUAUAUUCCCUUGGGCUUUUGUUUGAACCUAGGAUACCACGUUGAUAACACUGUUCCCCCUUUGCUCUUCUGUGGUUGGGCUGGGAUGAGUGGAAGUAGGGUAGUUCUGCCCCACUUCUUCCAAGCUGCUCCUCUGCCCUCUCCCUGUAAUGGCAGUCCUGUGUUCAAUAGCACUCUGACUUCAGAGAAGCCCAAAAGAUGGCACAGAACCUGUGGGACCCAUUCCAUGGGCAUGCCAGUGCCAAUGAAAAGAGGGAGGGGACGUCUCCCUGGCUUGUAGCCCUCUAGACAGAGCUGAGUUGACAUUCCAACUCCUUGCUUCUGUGGACUAAGUCCUCCCAGAUCCUGCAAGCAAAGCCUCUUCAAAGCCUCU